This 77-nucleotide transfer RNA is filed under the name Gammaproteobacteria bacterium. RNAcentral describes it as "tRNA-Leu". It matches the Rfam family "tRNA". From Rfam's summary of the family: Transfer RNA (tRNA) molecules are approximately 80 nucleotides in length. Their secondary structure includes four short double-helical elements and three loops (D, anti-codon, and T loops). The record is from RNAcentral. Lineage: Bacteria; Pseudomonadati; Pseudomonadota; Gammaproteobacteria.
GCCGAAGUGACGGAAUGUGCAUAUGUACGCGACUUAAAAUCGCGGUUUUGCGGGUUCGAUCCCCGCUCUCGGCACCA